Molecule: ribosomal RNA, 253 nt
Filed under: uncultured bacterium
Lineage: Bacteria
Description: partial 16S ribosomal RNA
Rfam family: Bacterial small subunit ribosomal RNA
Source: RNAcentral
UACGGAGGGGGCUAGCGUUGUUCGGAAUUACUGGGCGUAAAGCGCGCGUAGGCGGCUUUGUAAGUUAGAGGUGAAAGCCCGGAGCUUAACUCCGGAAUUGCCUUUAAGACUGCAUCGCUAGAAUUGUGGAGAGGUAAGUGGAAUUCCGAGUGUAGAGGUGAAAUUCGUAGAAAUUCGGAAGAACACCAGUGGCGAAGGCGACUUACUGGACACAUAUUGACGCUGAGGUGCGAAAGCGUGGGGAGCAAACAGG